CCCUGGGAUCAUGACCUGAGCUGAAAGCAGACGUUUAAGCCACUGAACCACCCAGGUGCCCCUGUUUAUUUAUUUUAAUGUUUAUUUAUUUAUUUGGGGGUCAGGGGAGGAACAGAUGGAGGGAAAGAGAGAAUUCCAAGCAGGGUCCCCACUGAGUACAGAGCCAGACACAAUGGCUAGAUCCCAGGCCGCCCAGACCACCACCCUAACUGAAAACAAGGUCAGACGCUCAACUGACUGCACCAUCCAGGCGCCCCUUAAACACUUGUAAUUCUACCCCCGAUCCUCCCUUUUCGUGAAACAUGUAAAAUAAGAUAAGAAUAGAAAAGAUCCUCUUGCCAUCCCAGAGUUCAACCCUAUGAGUUAAUGAUUAGGCACAAACCAAGCUAGAAUUUUGUUUCUAUGUGUAUAUUAAAUGUAAUAUCUUUCCAUAUUCUUCUGUAUCUAUUAUCUAUCUAUGUAUCUAUCUAAUUAUCACUGUCUAUCUAUUAUCUUGAUAGAAACAGAAGCUUGUAUUCCCAUACUCUCAACAAUUGUGCUCAGAUCACCAGGAGUUUCUACUAUGCUCUCCCCUUCGUAUCUGCUUAUCUGCUAUCAAGAAGCUCCAUGGAGCACAAAAAGCUGCUCAACAUCACUAGUCACCAGGGGAAUGCAAAUGGCAUUCAUUCUGAUCAGGAUGGCUAUUAAAAAACCAGACAGGGCAGCCCAGGUGGCUCAGCAGUUUAGCAUCACCUUUAGCCCAGGGUGUGAUCCUGGAGACCCGGAAUCGAGUCCCACGUCAGGCUCCCUGCAUGGAGCCUGCUUCUCCCUCUGCCUCUCUCUCUCUCUGUAUCUCUAAUAAAUAAAUAAAAUCUUUAAAAAAAUAAAAAUUAAAAAAUUAAAAACCAGACAAUAAGGAGUGGUAGUGAGGACAUGAAGAAAUAGAAUCCCAGUACACUGCUGGCAGAAACAUAGAACAGUGCAGUCAUUGUGGAAAGUGGUAUGAUGGUUCCUCAAAAAAGUAAACAGAAUUACAUGUCACCCAACAAUUCCACUUCUGGGGAUAUAUCCCAAAGAAGUGAAAGCAGGAACUCAGAUAGAUAUUUGCCCCCUCACGUUCACAGCAGCAGUGUUCACAGUAGUCAAAAGAUGGAAGCAAACUAAGUGUCCAUUGACCAAUGAAUGGAUAAGCUAAAUAUGGUAUGUACACAUGAUGGAAUAUCAUUCAGCCUUAAAAAGAGGACAUUUGUUUUUUUUUUUAUAAUAAAUUUAUUUUUUAUUGGUGUUCAAUUUACCAACAUACAAAAUAACACCCAGUGCUCAUCCCGUCAAGUGCCCCCCUCAGUGCCCGUCACCCAUUCACCCCCACCCCCGUCCUCCUCCCCUUCCAUCACACCCAGCCCGUUUCCCAGAGUUAGGAGUCUUUAUGUUCUGUCUCCCUUUCUGAUAUUAGGGAGGACAUUUGGACACAUGUUACAACAUGGAGGAAUCUUGAAGACGUAGUGCUAAAUGAAUUAAGCCAGUUGCAAAGGACAAAUAUUGUAUGAUUCCUCUUAGAUGAGGUCCCUAGAGUAGUCAAAUUCCAGAACAGAAAGUAGAAUGGUAAUUGCCAAGAGCUGGAGGUGGGGCAGGGGGAAUGGGAAGUUAGUGUUUAAUGACUAAAUAAAGUUAGUGUUUAAUGAAGUUAGAAUUACAGCUGGGAAGAUGAAAAAGUCCCAGAGAUGAAUGGUAGUGACAGUUGCACAAUAAUGUAAGUACUUACUACCACACCAAUGUGCACUUAAAAAUGGUCCAAACAGUAGAUUUUCUGUUAUGUAUAUUUUACCAAUCACACAAAAAAUAGCUUUGUGAAGGAGUCAAAGGUGGUAUUCUGUCCCACAAAGAAGUAUACUCUUCUAGUACUAAAGCCUACUGGUUUUGAGUCUUCAGAAUAUACCAGGUACCAAGUAAACAUUUUUUUAAGGGUUUGUUUAUUCAUUCAUGAGAGACACAGAGAGAGAGGCAGAGACGUAGGCAGAGGGAGAAGCAGGCUCCACGCAGGGUGAGACUCAAUCCCUGGACCCCGGGAUCACACCCUGAGCCAAAGGCAGAUGUUCAACCACUGAGCCAUCCACGUGCCCCAUCAAUUAAAUAGCUAAUAUGCAUUAUUUUACUUUCUUCCUCAGCCACCCUGAGGCUGGUACUACUUUUACCUUCAUUGUAAAGAGCAGAAAACUGAGGCAUGAAGAGAUUUAGGUGACUUGCCCACAGUCUCCAGCUGAGAAGGAAGUCAGCAGUGGAACUCACAGUGGUUGGCUUCCAAGCCCAACCUUUAGCCCUCCUGCUGUACCCUCGUGCUAGCGAAAGACAAAUCCGUUGACUGGGCAGUCCACAACACAUGGUAAGGAACUGAAUGCAGGUUCUGAAAAAGCGUGCACCAGCAGAGCCUUGCAUUCCCAGGACGUGGAUAAAAGCCAGGCAUUUUGACCAGAUCCGCAUUUGCAGGCCCUUCAAAGGGAAUAUUUGUAGGCAGAGAUGACCGAGAUUCUCUGUACUUUGCACAGCACACUAGACCACCGCAGCUGCCGGCCCUUCUCCCCACCAGCCCCCCUCUUCUCUUAGAAUCCGCUGCCUUUUUGACAUGAAAAAUGUACUGUA
This 2616-nucleotide long non-coding RNA is filed under the name Canis lupus familiaris (dog). RNAcentral describes it as "lncRNA (ENSCAFG00805025411.1, ENSCAFG00845026370.1)". The record is from RNAcentral. Lineage: Eukaryota; Metazoa; Chordata; Mammalia; Carnivora; Canidae.